GCUAUGGUCAUUGGUCACAGCGCGAGGGUCACAGGUGUCGCUGAUUAGCGCGCGCAGGUCACAGGUGUAGCUGAUUAGCCUCACUCUGAGCCUCGUCUUUACGAGUUCAGGAUGCCAUGAACCCCAGAGGAGGAGGAGGAGGAGGUGUUAGCAGAGAAGGCGUUUGCUGAAGCUCCUCACACGGCCAGAAGCUGAGAGACAUUUUCCUCCGAGGACCUUUCGUGCUUAUGAAAAUGAGCUUCAGCCAAUGAAAUCAGCCUCUGGUGCUGCUGUGAUCAUGAGGAGAAAGACCUGAGGCUCCUGUAGAUGUUGGAUUAUUAAACAAACUGACAUUACAUGAGGAUUUCAGCUGCAUCAGAGCAGGUCACUCAGG
This 373-nucleotide long non-coding RNA is filed under the name Neogobius melanostomus (round goby). Its description in RNAcentral is "lncRNA (ENSNMLG00000016829.1)". Lineage: Eukaryota; Metazoa; Chordata; Actinopteri; Gobiiformes; Gobiidae. The record is from RNAcentral.